This 431-nucleotide long non-coding RNA is filed under the name Mytilus galloprovincialis (Mediterranean mussel). The record is from RNAcentral. Lineage: Eukaryota; Metazoa; Mollusca; Bivalvia; Mytilida; Mytilidae.
ACAGUGGACGACUAUAAAUAUUUAGGUGUAACUUUUAACUGUAAAGGUAACUUUAAUUUACAUGCAGAGACUUUGGCUAAAGGUGCAGGAAGAGCCUUAGGUAAAAUUAUCUCGAAAAUCCAUAGUUUAAAGGAUUUUGGUUUUCAGUCUUAUGAAAAACUUUUUAAUUCGUGUGUUACUCCAAUCCUCGACUACGCAUCUGGAAUAUGGGGAAAUAGGAAGUUCCAAUCAAUAGACAACGUACAGAACAGAGCAAUUCGAUAUUACUUAGGCGUUCACAGAUUUGCACCAAUUCUAGCACUGUACGGGGAUACUGGAUGGAUACCAAGUCAGUUUCGGCAUUGGGUAAACAUUAUUCGCUACUGGAAUAGGCUAUUAUCGUUUGAAGACGACCGAUUAACGAAAGUGGUGUUCAAUAUGGAUUAUGAUCG